GGGAAGCCAGAAUUACUUGCAGGAGUAACCUAGUGCCUAUAGCUAUGGCAGGUACCUGCAUCCUUGUUUUUGUUUAGUGGAUCCUCUAUCCUUCAGAGACUCUGGAACCCCUGUGCUCUUCUCCUCAUCUAGUGACCCUGAGGUGAUGGAGUUUUCAAGUCCUUCCAGAGAGUCAUUCCUCAUUCUGUCCUCAGGAAUGUCCCAAGCCUUCGGGUAGGGUGCCUUCAGCCGCUACAAGAGCAGAAGCAGUGGGCAUUGGAUGGAGCUGAGUACAGGACCAUACAGGCUAAUUGCACCGGCACAGGAAUCGGAUAUAACAUCAUCUGGGUACCCAUGGCCAGCUGUGACUUCUCCAUCCGCACCUACACCUAUGCAGACACCCCUGAUGAUUUCCAGUUGCACAACUUCAGCCUCCCAGAGGAAGAUACCAAGCUCAAGAUACCCCUGAUUCACCGAGCCCUGCAGUUGGCCCAGCGUCCCGUUUCACUCCUUGCCAGCCCCUGGACAUCACCCACUCGGCUCAAGACCAGGGGAGCGGGGAAUGGGAAGGGGCCACUCAAGGGACAGCCCAGAGACAUCUACCACCAGACCUGGGCCAGAUACAUUGUGAAGUUCCUGGAUGCCUAUGCUGAGCACAAGUUACAGUUCUGGGCAGUGACAGCUGAAAAUGAGCCUUCUGCUGGGCUGUUGAGUGGAUACCCCUUCCAGUGCCUGGGCUUCACCCCUGAACAUCAGCGAGACUUCAUUGCCCGUGACCUAGGUCCUACCCUUGCCAACGGUACUCACCACAAUGUCCGCCUACUCAUGCUGGAUGACCAACGCUUGCUGCUGCCCCACUGGGCAAAGGUGGUACUGACAGACCCAGAAGCAGCUAAGUAUGUUCAUGGUAUUGCUGUACAUUGGUACCUGGACUUUCUGGCUCCAGCCAAAGCCACCCUAAGGGAGACACACCACCUGUUCCCCAACACCAUGCUCUUUGCCUCAGAGGCCUGUGUGGGUUCCAAGUUCUGGGAGCAGAGUGUGCGGCUAGGCUCCUGGGAUCGAGGGAUGCAGUACAGCCACAGCAUCAUCACAAACCUCCUGUACCAUGUGGUCGGCUGGACCGACUGGAACCCAUCAUUGUAGACAUCACCAAGCACACGUUUUACAAACAGCCCAUGUUCUACCACCUUGGCCACUUCAGCAAGUUCAUUCCUGAGGGCUCCCAGAGAGUGGGGCUGGUUGCCAGUCAGAAGAACGACCCGGACGCAGUGGCACUGAUGCAUCCCGAUGGCUCUGCUGUUGUGGUCGUGCUAAACCGCUCCUCUAAGGAUGUGCCUCUUACCAUCAAGGAUCCUGCUGUGGGCUUCCUGGAGACAAUCUCACCUGGCUACUCCAUUCACACCUACCUGUGGCGUCGCCAGUGAUGGAGCAGAUACUCAAGGAGGCACUGGGCUCAGCCUGGGCAUUAAAGGGACAGAGUCAGCUCACACGCUGUCUGUGACUAAAGAGGGCACAGCAGGGCCAGUGUGAGCUUACAGCGACGUAAGCCCAGGGGCAAUGGUUUGGGUGACUCACUUUCCCCUCUAGGUGGUGCCAGGGGCUGGAGGCCCCUAGAAAAAGAUCAGUAAGCCCCAGUGUCCCCCCAGCCCCCAUGCUUAUGUGAACAUGCGCUGUGUGCUGCUUGCUUUGGAAACUGGGCCUGGGUCCAGGCCUAGGGUGAGCUCACUGUCCGUACAAACACAAGAUCAGGGCUGAGGGUAAGGAAAAGAAGAGACUAGGAAAGCUGGGCCCAAAACUGGAGACUGUUUGUCUUUCCUGGAGAUGCAGAACUGGGCCCGUGGAGCAGCAGUGUCAGCAUCAGGGCGGAAGCCUUAAAGCAGCAGCGGGUGUGCCCAGGCACCCAGAUGAUUCCUAUGGCACCAGCCAGGAAAAAUGGCAGCUCUUAAAGGAGAAAAUGUUUGAGCCCA
Homo sapiens (human) is the source of this 1949-nucleotide long non-coding RNA. Ensembl annotates it as glucosylceramidase beta 1 like, pseudogene. Its record names the gene GBA1LP. The record is from Ensembl. NCBI's taxonomy places the organism in Eukaryota, Metazoa, Chordata, Mammalia, Primates, Hominidae.